ACCAGAACAGAGACGGCAUCAUCAGCAAGGACGACCCUGAGGGACGUGUUGGCCUCAAUGGGUAAGAACCGAACACGGAGGUGACCUGAACAACACAGACGAGUGGAUGGAGAGAGAGACAGGAGUAGACAGGCAGAAAGGGACAACAAGUUGUACACUGAACUGAGGGAAAAAAAAACAAAAACAGACAGACAGACAGAUAAAUGAAUCAAUAGUAUAACUCUAAGCAGACAGACAGAUGGGUAGGUGAACAGACAGACAGGCAGAUAAGCCAUAGACUAAUCCAUAGACUAAAUGCAGAGAGAAAGCUAGAGACUGAAGGCAGAUAGACAGAUGGGUAGACAGACAGACAGACAGAUAAAUUAAACUGUAGACUAAGUCUAGGCAGAUGGAUAGAUGGGUCCGUAAACAGACAGACGAGCCAUAGAAUAAACAUAGAGAGAAAGCUAGACUGAAGGUAGUACAGAUAGGCAGACAGACAGAAAAAGAAACCAUAGACAUUAAACCUAGACACAAAGACAGAUGGAAAGAUACAGACUCACAGACAGCUAGAGACUCUAAGACAUAAGGCUGACAGAUAGAAGACAGACAGAUAUACAGACAGACAGCUAUAUUAGUAGAUAGAUAGGUAAUCAGUCUGACAGGCAGACAGAGAGAUAGAGAGAGAACAAGGCAUAGAUUAACCCUAGGCAGAGAGAAAACACAGGCAGACAGACAGGUAGACAGACAGAGACAGAGACAGAGAGAGCGAGAGCGGAGAGAGAGAAAGCAAGGCAUAGAUUAACCCUAGGCAGAGAGAAAACACAGGUAGACAGACAGAGACAGAGAGAGCGAGAGCGAGAGAGAGAGAGAGAGAGAGAGAGAGAGAGCAAGGCAUAGAUUAACCCUAGGCAGAGAGAAAACAGACAGACAGACAGGUAGACAGACAGGUAUGCAGGUUGACAAAUAAAGCAAAAGUAGACUGACAGAAGACAAAGCUACAGAUAAACAAACAGAGACAGACAGGUAGACAAAGACGCAUACAGAUGGAUACAUGUAUAGACAGACGGAUGUCAGACA
This is a long non-coding RNA of Ictalurus punctatus (channel catfish), 1059 nucleotides long. Lineage: Eukaryota; Metazoa; Chordata; Actinopteri; Siluriformes; Ictaluridae. The record is from Ensembl.